GACGAACGCUGGCGGCGUGCCUAACACAUGCAAGUCGAACGGAAAGGCCCUGCUUUUGUGGGGUGGUCGAGUGGCGAACGGGUGAGUAACACGUGAGUAACCUGUCCCUGACUUUGGGAUAACUUCAGGAAACUGGGGCUAUUACCGGAUAGGAGCUCCUGCUGCAUGGUGGGGGUUGGUAAGUUUCGGUGGUUGGGGAUGGACUCGCGGCUUAUCAGCUUGUUGGUGGGGUAGUGGCUUACCAAGGUUUUGACGGGUAGCCGGCCUGGGAGGGGGACCGGCCACAUUAGACCUGAGAUACGGCCCAGACUCGUACGGUAGGCAACGGUGGAGAAUGGUACACAGUGGACGGGAGCCUGAUGUGGCCACGCCGCGUGCGGGAAGACGGCAUUGGGGUUGUAAACCGCUGUCGCCUUUCACGAGACGUGAGUGACGGUAAUGGGUAAAUAAGCACCGGCUAACUACGUG
Molecule: ribosomal RNA, 468 nt
Filed under: uncultured bacterium
Lineage: Bacteria
Description: partial 16S ribosomal RNA
Rfam family: Bacterial small subunit ribosomal RNA
Source: RNAcentral